GUAACCACACAGAGAGCUGUAAUGUGACCAUUAUUGUUCUCCCUCCUUACAGAGAACUGCUCCUUUCCAGUUUCCCUCUCGAGAUGGCUCCCUUAGCACCUGAGGCGGUGCACACAGCUUUCACCAAGUGGGAUUCUGACCUGUUUCUGCUUGAAUAAUGAGUCCUGUGUUUGUUGUUCUAUUGACAGCUCCUUUUCCUUCUGUGUGGGCAACUGCCCUCCAGCUCCUCCAGGAAUGUUUACUGCAUCAUUGCAGUAUCUGUGUUCAUGUCCUGCAUACAGGCAGGUGGAGAACAAUACCGCACAUCCUAUAAAUGAGUAUCCAUGUCUGUUCUGUCAUAUCCUCAUAAUUUAUUGGUUACCUCAGGAUAUUCAUAGAGAUGCAGGUGUUGAUUUCCUAUUUCUGCAGCUAACUGUUUUGUUGGAAUUAGUACUCUCUGUGUGGGGGUGUUUUCUUUUGUCUACAGCUAUUGCACUUUGGUCUUUGAUCUCCUCAGAUCUUGCAAGCUGAGUGGGCUGGGGUUUGGCCACUGCUCGGAUGAGAGAUUUAUAGGAAUACCAUGAUGCUGACAGGUAUUGUUUGGGACUGAAGAUGCUACCUUCUGCUUGGAGUCAACGCUGAACAAGUACCCUGGUGCAGGGGGUGCGCAGUGCUGCAGGCUCUGGCUGUGGAGGAGCUGCGAAACACAUCCUAUGAGCCUCAGAGUGUCUCAGCCAAAAUCGAAUGUAUGUAAUCAGUCCUGCAUUCAAAAGCUUCAGAGAAUGUAUUGUUACUUUUCACUCUCUCCUGUAAUGUAGCACUGGGGAUUUCAGUGCACAGCCAUUCUCAGGAGAAAGGAGGGGGAGGAGUGUCCGUACAGAAGCAGCGUGAUGCCAGCACUCAACGUGUGCCUGCUGCGGUGUGCUGGUUUAAAGCAGGAACCACUGCUGGCCUGAUGGGCGUCUGGGAGCUCUCACCUGAACAGUGGCUACAACGUUCUCCAGCCACUCCCAUUUGCCAUUAGUGAGUGACCCCUUAAUCACAUUGGCAAGUAACCACUCACACAAGUAAUCCUAUUGACACCAGUUGGGCUGGAUCCACAUUGUUAUAAUUUAGCAAAUAACUACUCAGUUGUUUAGAAUAUAAAUUCUUCUGAUUUAUGUAGGAUUGGAAGGCAUUUCCAUCUCAUUUUUUAGGAAAACAUAGUGAAUUGUCACUUGCUUAGCACAUCUAGGAAAAGGCAGUUUUUAGGCAUCAUAAUGCAAUAAAUAGAACACACCUUUUUCUAGCAGAGGUAAUGUGAGUUUCCCAGCCAACGUCUCCUGUGUUUUUCUGUUGCCUAAAGGGUAAACUUGGGCUGAAUUGAAUGCUGGCUUCCUCCCAGGUAAGUCACCAUCAGUGGGGAAGAUCAUUUGUUUUGAACACUGUUGUUCAGCUGGUGGUGGGUGGCUCCAUCCUGCAGAGCUGCCUGUGUUCAUAGAGUUAAUGUGAGCAGGAGAAAAGGAAAGUUCUGCCAGAGAUUUGCUGAUACAAUGCUCGGGUCAUUCACAGGGUGUAAUAACGGCUGUGACAACCCAUUGUACUUUUUGUAGGCUGAGGUAUGACUCUGCUUGUUUGGAAGCCACUGAAUUCCUCAGUCUUGCCCAACUCCAGCUUGGAACCUGGCGCCCCAUCCCUGGGCAGUCCUGCAGUUCUCACCAGUGGCACUUCACCGUUUCCAAAACAAGUUUUCCCAAGCAGGGAUGCAGCACUCAGCUCAGUGCUGGCACACAGUUUUUGUCUCUUCUCCCUUUCUUCUUGUUGCUAAGUAAAUAGUAAGAGCAUUCCUAAUUGGAAAAGAGAAGCUUCAGAUAAGAGAUUGUUUCUUAUUCAGUAUAGUCUCUCACACUUGGGAUACUGAUGCACUUUUUGUGUUUUGCUGAUGAAGCUGACCAUCUCCAGAAGCCACCUCCUGCCUUUGUUCAGUGACCAGCCCUUCUGCAGCACUUCCACAAUUGUCAGGAGUGAUUUGAAUUCUGAUCCUGCCCUCAGAAGUGUCUGCAACACUUCCAGCUCGCAGUCAUCAACAACUGUAUCUGUGUUGUCUCUGCUGCAGCAUUGGAGUCUGUGCAGGAACAUCUGGGAGCCACUCCAGCUGUCCUUCAUACCCACAGGGGACACUCAGAACACUGGUGAUUUUCAUUGUAUUCUUUCCCACUUUAUAUUAAUUUUAUUUUGACUUUGCAUGUUGAGCUGUACUUGUGAGCCCGCAUUAGGGAAUUGCACAUGGCACCUUGCUCAUAUGGGGUGCUGUACCUUGUAUUUACACAGCAAUGAGCUCAUUUCCCCCUUGGUGCAUUACCUCCCCACCACGGCCUCCCCUUCCCUGCCCAAAUCCUCCCCAGGUUUGACGUCUUUUCUAUUUCUCUCUUCUUGAGAAAUGUAUAAACUCACCUUGGCUACAACUCUUGGGCCACAGCCUCACCUUCUAGGUGAUGACAACUUGAUUGGUGAAUCAUAGAUUUUGAUACCUUUGAAGCUGUGAUUUCUAAAUGCAUCCCUUCAGAUAGGAAUGGUGUUUCUCUGAGAUUUUGUGUUGAACCCACUCUGAUGUCUUUCCGUUAUUGAAAAUCUUUUCCACCAUAAUAUGAAACAGAUGUAUACAGGAACUGGCCAUUUACACUGUGUAGUGUGUAAAUUACGGACCCAAAGUUUUGGAUGCUGCAGAAAUUCUAUCAGUGAUAUUCCUGGCUAGACAAUGUUUGGAGUCAAACAACCACAGCCUGCUGACUGGGUUCUCCCAGGCCCUCACACUCUCUUCUCUUCCCAGAUCUGUUUUGUUUGGGGUAUUCUAGGGCCUAUAACUCUAAUGCAACCUCACUCAUGUCUCUCUGCUAUUCUUCAGAGUUCUUUACUUCCUGCUCAUCUUGUUCUUUACUCUAUGGGUUAUCACUCUGCCCCACACUCUUGCUGGGCUGCCCUGAUCCUGUGAGCUGCCUUUCCUUGCCCUUACAUGCAGCAUUCCAGCCUGCAGCCUUCCCCUUAUCCCAGAGCAGUUCUGCCUGGAGGCUCAUUGCCAUCCUGAUCAGGCAUUUCCCUGCUUCAGCACGUUCUCAAAAUUAAAAGCCUGUUCAAGAGCGCUGUGGCACUUUAUAAAUCAUACAUCAUAUGGACUAUUUGCUGUACUCAGAUCACAACAAAACCAUUUUUCAGCUUGCUGGGGACUUUUCCUCAAGCUGCUGCACUAUGUUUUGCUAACGAGGCCAUGGGGUGGCCCAGGGCCACCACCUUACUCCUUCUCUUUUCCUCUCUUUAACC
This is a non-coding RNA of Coturnix japonica (Japanese quail), 3276 nucleotides long. NCBI's taxonomy places the organism in Eukaryota, Metazoa, Chordata, Aves, Galliformes, Phasianidae. The record is from RefSeq and is a predicted model, not a curated record.